Molecule: long non-coding RNA, 450 nt
Filed under: Anas platyrhynchos platyrhynchos (common mallard)
Lineage: Eukaryota; Metazoa; Chordata; Aves; Anseriformes; Anatidae
Description: lncRNA (ENSAPLG00000022110.1)
Source: RNAcentral
GUCACAUGGUGUUAUAUAGCCGAGGCCCAUAACGUCUCUUCUGCUUGCUUACGUCACAGACCACGCGCUACUGUCCAUCAAGGGAGGGGCUCCACCUUUCCGUACAGCGCAACAUCUUCCGGCCGCCAGACCCUAACUACCCACACUCUCGAGGGCUGUAUUCCUUGUGAUUCUCUGAAGCAGCUCUCUAGAGAGUUCCUGGUAAGGGGCUGUGCAUCACCGAGGACUGACAGUGUGGCAAUGCACUACACACUGAAACAGGUCAGAGACAAGAUGUGAAGUUCUGUACAUCUCCCUUAAAAGCAUAGAACACAAAUUGAUGGAUAGCAGCAGCAUGUGGAAACAAUUUCUUUUUUCCUUUACAUUGAAAAUCAGUGCUAUUAUAUACUUAUGUGAGAAAUUUUUAGAUAUUUUCCUCUGCAAUAAAUUAUAUUGCAUGUGGCUAUGGAG